GCUUGUCUCAAGAUUAAGCCAUGCAUGUCUAAGUAUAAACAAAUUCAUACUGUGAAACUGCGAAUGGCUCAUUAAAUCAGUUAUAGUUUAUUUGAUGGUACCUUGCUACAUGGAUAACUGUGGUAAUUCUAGAGCUAAUACAUGCUUAAAAGCCCCGACUUCUGGAAGGGGUGUAUUUAUUAGAUAAAAAACCAACGUGGGAAACCACUCCUCUGGUGAUUCAUAAUAACUUCUCGAAUCGUAUGGCCUUGUGCCGACGACGUUUCCUUCGAAGGUGUGCCCUAUCAACUGUCGACUGUGAUAUAGACGCUCACAGUGGUUUUGACGGGUAACGGGGAAUCAGGGUUCGAUUCCGGAGAGGGAGCCUUAAAAACGGCUACCACAUCCAAGGAAGGCAGCAGG
Molecule: ribosomal RNA, 402 nt
Filed under: Itersonilia perplexans
Lineage: Eukaryota; Fungi; Basidiomycota; Tremellomycetes; Cystofilobasidiales; Mrakiaceae
Description: partial small subunit ribosomal RNA
Rfam family: Eukaryotic small subunit ribosomal RNA
Source: RNAcentral